Neoarius graeffei (lesser salmon catfish) is the source of this 1114-nucleotide long non-coding RNA. RefSeq lists it as uncharacterized. The transcript has 2 exons. The record is from RefSeq and is a predicted model, not a curated record. NCBI's taxonomy places the organism in Eukaryota, Metazoa, Chordata, Actinopteri, Siluriformes, Ariidae.
ACUGUUACAGUGAAUUACUGAGUGACAGGGUGGUGUGAUGAAGCAGAGCUCCUGUUCCCACCCUGAAGUUGAUUAUUUUCCUGUAAUAGUGCAUCCCCAAGUGUUUCAUUCCUCUGAAACCAAACCAGUUUACAAACUGUUCCAACAUUACAUCAUAAGAGGGUUAAGGGCCUUGCUCAGGGGCCCAGCAGUAGCAGCUUGGUGGUGGUGAGAUCUGAAAUCACGAGCCUCUGAUCGGUCGUCCAACAUUUAAACCACUGAGCAACUGUUCUCAUUGACAUUAGAGCAGCGAUAAACAGUCGUUCACUCACCAGCUGUUACCAUAGAAACGAUAACGUAUUAGAACGAGGGCAUUAAUAUAAACCUGUGAUUGGCAGCUGCACUACUGUCAGAGCUGCUGUUAUAGAAAACUAAUCAACACCUUCUGACCAAUCACAAUCCAGAACUCCACAGCGCUGUGGGACAAUUUAAUAAACACUACAAGCAGAAUCUUUUAGUCGAUAUACGUAAAACCAUUUGAUGGUGUUUUUUGAGCCUUUAAUCACAGAACUAAAUGUAUAAAUGUUUUCACACAGAUGCGUAUGAGCAAACUCAAUGCUGUUUCAGUUACUACAAGAGACCAAUCCCUGCAGAUACCAUUACAGCGUAUAAAGUAACAAGCCUUCAGUGCAAAAAACCUGGAGUCAUCUUUACUCUAAAGAACGGCAAAAAGACGUGUGCACAUCCUGAAGACGAGUGGGUGAAGAGGGUCAUGGAACUAAUGGACCAGCGCGAGUUUACAACCACUGACGCCGGGACCACUCAUCAGAAAACGAGUGGGUGAAGAGGGUCAUAGAAACAAAUUGACGAGCGAGUUUAAAAACCUGUCCUAAUCUCAGCUAUAAUGUUUAAAUCCUCUCUCCAGUUAUAACCAAUUAUUUUGAUUAAUAUUAAACAAAAUGCACUGUUUAUGCAUUUAAACAGAAGGAAUGAAGUUUUUCACUGUAUAUCCGAUUUGAAAAAAAUAAAAAAACCCUUUUGCUUUAAUUUGUCUUGCAGUGUUUAUCUGAAUUGAACCACAGGCAGUGGGGAUUAAUUUUAUUUUCAGACAUAUUAAAGGGCAUUUUCUAUCACA